RNAcentral lists this ribosomal RNA (207 nucleotides) under uncultured bacterium. Its description in RNAcentral is "partial 16S ribosomal RNA". It matches the Rfam family "Bacterial small subunit ribosomal RNA", at positions 568 to 774 of the family's 1533-position model. The record is from RNAcentral.
AGCGUAGGCGGCUUGGUGGGUCUGGUGUGAAAGCCCCGGGCUUAGCCCGGGAAGGGCGCUAGAAACUGCCGAGCUCGAGUGCCGGAGGGGAGAGUGGAAUUCCUGGUGUAGCGGUGAAAUGCGUAGAGAUCAGGAGGAAUACCGGUGGCGAAAGCGACUCUCUGGACGGCAACUGACGCUGAGGCACGAAAGCGUGGGGAGCAAGCA